RNAcentral lists this transfer RNA (77 nucleotides) under Verticillium nonalfalfae. RNAcentral's name for it is "tRNA-Cys". Lineage: Eukaryota; Fungi; Ascomycota; Sordariomycetes; Glomerellales; Plectosphaerellaceae. The record is from RNAcentral.
GAGUUGUGCAUAUAGAUGGCUUUCUAUACUUUGAUUGCAAACCAAAAGAAAAAUGGGUUCGAUUCCCACGUAACUCU